UAUCUGUAGAGAUUUGGAUCACAACUUAUUGACAGAAAUUAAAAAUCGAACGUUCGUAGGAAUGACAGGAAACCUUCGUACUUUGUGAGUAUAAUUAAUCCUGUUUUGGUUCCCGAUUCUUCUAAUAUAAAUUAAUUGGCGAUACGACAUUUAUCUACCAUAAAUGUAGUAGGCAGGGUAAGUUAUUAAAUAUCAAAGGAGUUAUAAUAGGCAAGUUGAAUAGUCAACCGAUCAUUUAAACUAGGAAUAAUGUGUGGUUUUUUUUUCAGUUAUAUCAAAUAUAAAACAAAAGAUUAGCAUGCAAUGUGUUUCAACAUAUUUAAAAUUGUUUUAGAAUAACAUCAUGAUCUUGAGUCAUACAGAAUAUUUGUUGACGUUGUGUAGGAUUUUAUCAUCUUUUCAGUUUUCUCUUCAUCUGCAAGAGAAAAAUGAAGUUGACUAUUGUUUCUGGUUUCAAUUUGCCUCACUUAUUAUUUUUUUUAUUCAAUUUGACUGGGUUUUUUUAAUGAAUUGCUUUUAUUUAGAUGUGGAAUGAGUGCCAAGAGACAACUAUCCGUAGACCUCUUUACAUAGAAACAAAAUAUAGUACAUGUGCAUGCUUAGCGGAAUUUUCUAGUUCGAAUAAUUAUUUCAAAAGCUUAUAAAACAGGAAUAUAAAAAUAAAAUAUAAACUCCUUGUGGAUUCUAUUGAAUAUUGUAUGAGUCAUUAAAUAAUUUGAAAUAAAAAAAAAAGGGAAAUGAAAAUAUGUGAAGUAAUUCGAAAGGGACAGCAGUUCAUUCAACAUCGUAAGCAAAUCGAUAUACAGACUACUUCAACUUUGUACUUGUUUGACUUUAUAAAUAUUUUGAUAUGAGCGUUACUGAUGAGUCUUAUGUAGACGAAACGCGCGUCUGGCGUACUAAAUUUUAAUCCUGGUACCUUUGAUAACUAUUAUAAGAGGUUAAAGCAAGGUAGGUAACUCGCUCUGAAUAUCCUGGAAUUUAAAACUGUUGUAAAUAAUGUAUAUUUUAUUAGUUUAUAAACAAACACGUCUAUUCAAUGUCUCAUCAAUUUUAUGGCCGUCAACCCUCUGCCUUGAAUCAAAAUGUCUUUAAACGGAACGACCUGAAAUUUGCAGACAAAGAAUUAAGCUCAAUAAAUCACAAGAGGUUUAUUAGCUUAUUUUUUUAUAAACUAUAAAAUAUCAAAAAGGCUUUCUUAAAAAGAUAACAAGUUUAAUUGUUUUCUUGAUCAAACUAAUUUUAUUUCGUAAUUUUUGACUUUCUUUUUGUAGAUCACUCAGAUACAACGAACUAUCACACAUAGAAGAUGGGGCGUUUCUUAGAAUUUCAGGACUUUAUAAUCUGUACGUGAGUUUUAAAUAAAAAUCCAACACACGAUUGUUUUUGUCUCGGUUGACGGAGUAAAAAAAACGAGACAUAGGUAUGCUGUUUCCGGCGGCGGCUGCGUCAACAAUGUAUUAAUUUGUGAUUUGGUUUAGUUUAUGGUGAACUAUUAGUGGUAAGUCAAAGAUAUUUGAUUUGCAGUUGUAUUAGUAGUGACACAUCUCAUUACCAUGGAGACUAUUUUGGCCCACCCCCUCAGUUAUGGCCUAUUGACUUUGUAACGUUUGCUUAGUUUUCAUGUAUUAGUUUCUGAUUACUAAGCUGUUCUGUGUAAACAAUCACAACCUGUUUGAUGAUACGUUCAGAUUUUAUAAUAGCCACUUUCCGUUUUGAAUUUACCAUUUUUUGUUGUUUUACUGAGUAUUUUAAUUUGAAUCCCAAUGCAUUACCUUUUCUUAAAACGUCUAGAAAUAAAAGGUAGCUACAUGUCAUCACAUUAAGUGCAAUGUUCGUUUCAAAUAAUCAGUAAAUACGUUAAAUUAUAUUGCACAUUUAGAAUUUCUAUGAAAACGCAUUCUAAUAUGAGGUGCCUCAUUUGCUUUGUAAACAACACCGUUAUAGAAAUUUCGAUGUAUCUACACUUGGCGUAGACUCCAAAAUGUACAUUAUAAUGGCUGUUGAAUAUAACUCCAACCUAAAUCCACAUGUAUUGUAACCUAUUUUCAAACGCUAUGUCUAUUUCAUUGUGUUAAAAAUUACAAUUGAAAAAAACCUACUGCAACUUUAUUCUUAUUUUUAGGCAUAACAAAUAGAAUCAUUUCAUUGGAAAUCGUAAAAAUGUACUAAAUCAAAAUUAUUUGAAGUUUCAUCAAUGCCUUUGCGCAUUCACGUCAUUUUGAAACAUGACGUCAUACGAAAAAAAACGCCACAUUUCCAUUGCGUGUAACUUUUAAACCCGGAUAAAAAGUAAGAUCACAAAAAUAUUGAACUUCGAGGACAAUUCAAAACGGAAAGUCCCUCAUCAAAUAGCCAAAUCAAUGAUAGAACACAUCAAACGAAUGGACAACCAUUGUCAUAUUCCUGACAUCCAAAUGUAGAAAAUGGUGGAUUAAUCCUUGUUUAAAAGCGCAAAACUUCUCGUUCGUAUGACAGUCGCAUCAGUAUUGAAACCUGUUCCAUUAUCUUGACAACGAUUAAUGGAAAAUGUCGCAAAUAGGGAUAGCAUAUACAGCAACACGAACCCACUAAAACUGGGGUGAUCUCGGGUGCCCAGAAGGAUAAGCAGAUCCUCGGCAUUCGUCGCGUUGCUAAUAUUAUAACAAAGCCAGUAAAUAGUCUAACUCGGUAGGUCACAAUCGUAAGAACGGAAUGAGACGUAAUUACGACAUAAAAAUCCUAUCCGAUAUUAUUUGUGAAAAGGAUAUUCCACAACGGUCAACCAAUUCUCAAUGGCGUCCGAACAUUUUACAAAUUGAUGAUUUCAACUUCAUUUGGAAAUCUUGGUCUAAAAAUCAUAAUUUAGAAGCCGAAAUCAUCUCUUUUGUCCUAAAGUUCUGUUUUCAAUCUGACCCUCAUAGUCAAUAUCUAGAAAUAAGUCAUUAUCAAAUGGCAAGAAACAAAAGCUCAAAUAUGUAAAAAAGCAUUUAAAUAGAGAUUUCAGGUAGGUGUUGCUUUUUAUUUUAUUUUGCAUUAUUACACAAAAUUUAGUCCUGGUAUCUAUGAUGAGUUUAUUUACUGAUUUCAGCAAAUCAACAUGGCGGCACCUUCGUAACAAAAUGUCAGUAGUGAUUUGACGGUUGCUCACAAGAAUAACAUGUGAAUUAAAUAUGACAAAUGUGGGGUUUUAAGAAUUAAAAUAAUCAAUCGCAUUUUUUCUUACGGUUGUUUAAGAAAUGAUUCAUGCAAGCUACAGGUUUAUAUAUUUUUUACAUUUAUCGAACAGUGAGUAAAAUAGAAUAGCCACACGCUAGUAAUUCCAACAUUUUAACGACAUCAUUGGUCCUAUUAGAAUCGAAAUAGUUCAUGGAAGUCAUAAUUUUGAUGUUAAUUUACACAUUGCCUGUGCCGUGGAGUUUGUUAAUUUUAUCCGUCGCGAUCGCCCAGGAUCGCGAUCGCCCAGGAUAAUAUUCGAAUAUGACGGCACAGUCCAAGUGGAAGUUCCACCAAUUCUGUUGCUUCAUUACCUUGAGCUAUUACAAGAGGGGCGAAACAUACCCGAGGGCCAGUCAAACUCAUAGAUCAAAAACUGACAACGCCAUGGCUAAAAAUGAAAUAGGCAAAUAGAUAAAUAGAAGUACACGACACACUACAUAGAUCUAAAGACUAAGCAACGCGAACCCCGACAAAAACUGUCAAAUGUUAUUUUUAUUUGAUGGAUAAAAACACAUUUGUAAAAAAAACCAUCUUGCUGCGCAUGUGGCACUCGUGCUGCUGCCAUAAGUUAAACCCCAGUGAUAGGUCUUAUUCGGUUGGUCCAUUCAGGGAAAGGCACAUGAUUGUAGUUAUAUAAAGUGUUACAUAACUAUCGUCAUAUGUCAAACAGACAUUCAAUAACGGUCAACGAACUCGUGAUGGCGUCUAUAAAGUUUUCGAACGAAAUCUUGCAAAUUUUUCACUUGAAACUCUUUGUUCAAUAUCAUUAUGGUACGCAGAAACCCUACAUAAAGGAAAUCAUGAUAGGUAAUCCAACAUGUUGUUACACGUGUGGCAUAAUUUAGCCCUGGUAUCUAUGGCGACCCACAUACCUUAAAAGACUUCAGUCAAUUGAAUAUUUUUUAUGUCUGGUGAAACAAUAUUGGCUGCAAGAUCCAUGUUUAUGUCACGUUUACAUUGAAAUGGGUUUUUUAUGUUGUUAAUACCCCAGUCCCACUAGGUCACGAUCACACUACGAUCUGUGAAAAAAAGGCAAAUUUUGAUGAUCGUAGUGCGAUCGUGUAGAUCGCAGUAAGGUCGUAUCACGGUCGUGGUGAGGUCUUCAAGAUCGUGAAGAAGAGCGUGGCCAACUUUGAACAUGUUCAAAACAAUCGUGGUGCGGUCGUGGCGAAAUCAGGUCGUAGUAGAAGCGUAGUGAGAGCGCACUAAGAUCGUAGUAAGAUCGCUAAGGUCGCUGUAUAAUCGUAGCGAGAGCGUAGCGAAAGCGUGAUUCUAUUCGGAGAAACUGCGCUACGAUCGCACAGCGACGUUAUCACGACCUCACUACGACCAUCACGUUCUCACUGCGACCCAACUACGCUUCCACUACGACUAUACUACGCUGUUCACGACCAUAGUACGAUUCUAGCACGCUCUUGCCGUCCUCAUCACGCUCGUCUUACGACCUGACUACGUUCACACUACGACCAUCAUUCUCAUUGUCGUUUUCACAUAAAAUAUAUAAAAAAGCUCCCUAGAUUUUGUUAGUUUGAAUGUAAUUAUCCAUUUGCUCUAACGGCUCAGCCAUGCUUCUAUUUUUAUAUAGAUUAGACCGUUGGUUUUCCCGUUUAAAUUGUUUAACAAUAGUAAUAUUUUGGGUCCUUUAUAGCGUGCUGAUUGAUGUGAGCCAAGGCUCCGUGUUGAAGGCCGUACCUUGGCCUAUAAUGGUUUACUUUUAUAAAUUGUUACUUGGAUGGAGAGUUGUCUCAUUGGCACUCAUACCACAUAUUCCUAUAUAUAUUGAUACAUCUAUGUCAUCUCUGCUAUCGUUCACUAAAAUAUCGUCAUUGAGCUUUAUGGACCAGCAAUAGGUUGUAAUUUAGGUUGGAUUGGUCGGUCCGACAUCUCUGCUUGAUCAGGAUUCGUUACUUUGCUCCCUCUGCCUCUACAUCAACUCCUACAUUUUUUUUUUUGUACCACCAUGCCCACGUGUUCUGGUAGAUUUUGGUGGCAUGACUGUAUUGUUUCCGAGAAAUCUACGGUUUAAUCGGAAAUAGAAGGAAUUGAACUGUAAUGAUAUGGAACACGAUGUUGACGUUAUUGCUGAGAACGUAGUAAGAUCGCGCUAUGAACGUAGUAUAAUCGUGGUAAGAACGUGUUAUAAUCGCAGUAAGAUCGUGUUGCAAUCGGAUAACUCGUGGUAUGGUCGUAGUGAGAACGUGAAGAGCGUAGAAAGAUCUUGAUAAGCGUAGUGAGGUCGCAGAAUAAGCGUAGUGAGAACGUGGUAAAAUCGUAGCGGGAUCUUUGUAGAAGCUUAGAGAGGACGUAGUAGCAUCGUGAAAGCAACGAAAAUUUACAUUUUCAUGCCGCUCAUACCGCGACCUCACCACGAUCUAAAAUUAUUUUAGAUCGCGGUGAGCGUGGUGCGAUCGUGGUCUAGUGGGACUGGGGCUUAAGAUCUGAUAACAACGAAAGGUUAAGCUGUAAAAUAAAAACCAUGAUCUUCCGAAAAACAUGCACCAAGUCAGGAAUUUGAUAGUUGGUUUUCGGUUCUUUUGAAUUUGUUUGUUGGUAUAGUAGAUAUGUUUUUUGUCAAUAUAAUCAAUUCAAUGAAAUCUCGUAUCGAGUUUUGUUUAAGGAUGAACUUAGGUGAGGUAAGGUAAAAAAUUAGAAAUUAAGAAAUUAAAUUUGAUACUAUAAGCUGGUAGAUUAAGGAUAAAGAUAAGCUAAAAAUAUUGAUAGGUCAUGGAGCUCCUUUUCGAGAUAUUUGAGAUUUAAAAUAUGGCGGGAAAAGGCUGACUCGGACUUUUACCCUAUAUUUGCAUUGGUAUUAUUUGGGAAUCAAAACAAAAGAAAGAAAAUCAAGAAUCUUCUAAAAUUUUGGUAAAUGACCUUUCAUGAGCUAUUAAGUCUUAUAUGAAAAAAUAAAUGGGUGUUAUGGGGCAAAAUAUUUUACAUUGUAUUGUAUGGAAAAACACCAAGGAUUCCGAACAUUUGACACAAAUUCCAAAACCUCACCUAAGUACAUCCUUAAAUAUUAUUCUAAACAGUGUUAUUAAAAAGAGAACAAUAAAUAACAGCUGGUGAAUUUCAAGACUUAAACGUUAUGUCAUUGUAGUGGUAGACAAACAAUUAAUACGAAGUUGUUACGCUUCAAUUAAUCGUAUACAAUUAAUAACGAAGCUUUAUGUUUUUGUGAUUAUGCUUUUUUAAUGUUUCAAUAUUGUCCGUUAUUUAAUCAAUCCAUAGGUAUUUGGAACACAAUUCAUUGACAGAGAUAAACAAUAAUACAUUCGCAGAUUUGGCAGGAAAUCUUCAUUCCUUGUGAGUAUAGUUAAUCGUAUGGUUUAAUUCUGAUAUAUUUAGAGGCUUUUAUUGCAGUACCACUUGGUGUGUUACCAUGCGUUUACAAAUAACAAUGCAAUUUGCUAUACAAAAUGUGACCAGAUUUAAGGUGCAUACGAAGUAUAUUAUUUGCGGUGUUCAUAUAACGAUAAGGUGAUGUGGAAUGUUUACCAAUGAUGCUUAUAUCACAAAAAUGUGACGCAGAUGCAAGUAUCAAUGAGGCAAUGUAUGGCCUCCGCCAAUUAGAAACAUCUAUCCCGUAAAGUUAACCUUAAAAGUCCCGACAUGAUAUAUGUACAUGUUCACAAACUCAAAUGGAAACGAUAAGCACUGAAAUAAAGACUGCUGACUUUGAACAGGUACAUACAGAUGCAGAAUGUAUGCCUAAAAUAUCUUUAAUUCCAAGAUCUUAAUCGGAACAAUCGACAACUGACAGUAUUAGGUCUUACUCAAAACAAUUAGUAAGAUAUUUUGUUGCAAUUGCCCUACCGUUGACAAAUUUUAAAUAUUAUACCAAAUUGGAUCGGUUAUGGCAUUUUGGAUUUUUUGUUUGUUUGAGGACUGCCCUCCAUGCAGUUAUCACAUCGAAACUGUCACAACCUUUGGAAAUUUAGAGUUGUGCAAGUUCACAUCGCAAAUAACUAUUUUUAUUUGUCAUAUCUUUGUAAUCUUUGCGCCGUGUUUGGACAUUUUAAAAUUGUACCAGCGUCUGUGGUGUCCGCUUAAAUUGUAUAAACGUUCAAGAUUUUUUUGAUAUUGUCUCAAUUUGAAUACAUUGACAUGAUUUAUUUUACAUCGCACUAUUACGAAGAAGGAUAUCUGUUAUCCGAAAUAUCUAAUAUCUGUUCAUUUUAUAGUUAUUUAAUCGUGAUGUGACCCUUUUCAACCUGUUAUUUAUAUACAUAUUUAUAUACAACUCGUUUAAAGAUUCGAACCCAUGCUACUGAGAUAUCGUGACACCUAAUCGCCUGCACUGUAGCCGUCCCGCUAGACCACACGACCACCUGGGCUUCACAAUAAUAAAGCUUUCAGUGGCCGUGUGUUACCUUUCCUCGUCAGUUUUAAUUUAGCGUCGUACUACAGUACAUGAUAUAUAAGGCAUGGAGAUGUUAUUGUUACAGAUCAUCUCAAUUAUCUAUAGUUAAGGAUCCUACAAAUUAAUGCAAGAUACAGUCACAGAAAAUAAUUAUAUUUAUAAGUACGUCUGAGUCAGUGACAACUCUACAACAGAUUUACCCAUCGGAUCACCAGCAAUGAUGGUGAUUCAUGGCUGUGUACAUUAGGUAUAUACAACUCGUCUAAACAUCAACCCAACAAUGUUAGAUCUGUAAAUUUGCUUUCGCAAAUAUUUUGUUCUUCCCUCGCCGGGAUUCGUACCCAUGCUACUGAGAUAUUGUGACACCUAAUCGCCUGCACUGUAGCCGUCCCGCUAGACCACACGACCACCUGGGCGUCACAAUAAUAAAGCUUUCAGUGGCCGUGUGUUACCUUUCCUCGUCAGUUUUAAUCUUGCGUCGUACUACAGUACAUGAUAUAUAAGGCAUGGAGAUGUUAUUGUUACACAUCAGCUCAAUUAUCUAUAGUUAAGGAUCCUACAAAGUAAUGCAAGAUACAGUCACAGAAAAUAAUUAUAUCUAUAAGUACGUCUGAGUCAGUGACAACUCUACAACAGAUUUAUCCAUCGGAUCACCACCAAUGAUGAUGGUGAUUCAUGGCUUUGUACAUUAUGUAUAUACAACUCGUCUCAACAUCAACUCAGCAAUGUUAGAUCUGUAAAUUUGCUUUCGCAAAUUUUUUGUUCUUUCCUCGCCGGCAUUCGUACCCAUGCUACUGAGAUAUCAUGACACCUAAUCGCCUGCCACUGUAGCCGUCCCGCUAGACCACACGACCACCUGGUCUUCACAGUAGUAAAGCUUUCAGUGGCCGUGUGUUAUCUUUCCUCGUCAGUUUGAAUCUAGCGUCGUACUACAGUACAUGAUAUAUAAGGCAUGGAGAUGUUAUUGGUACAGAUCAGCUCAAUUAUCUAUAGUUAAGGAUCCUACAUAUUAAUGCAAGAUACAGUAACAGAAAAUAAUUAUAUCUAUAAGUACGUCUGAGUCAGUGACAACUCUACAACAGAUUUAUCCAUCGGAUCACCAGUAAUGAUGGUGAUUCAUGGCUGUGUACAUUAGGUAUAUACAACUCGUCUAAACAUCAACCCAACAAUGUAAGAUCUGUAAAUUUGCUUUCGCAAAUUUUUUGUUCUUUCCUCGCCGGCAUUCGUACCCAUGCUACUGAGAUAUCAUGACACCUAAUCGCCUGCACUGUAGCCGUCCCGCUAGACCACACGACCACCUGGUCUUCACAGUAGUAAAGCUUUCAGUGGCCGUGUUUUACCUUUCCUCCUCAGUUUGAAUCUAGCGUCGUACUACAGUACAUGAUAUAUAAGGCAUGGAGAUGUUAUUGUUACAGAUCAGCUCAGUUAUCUAUAGUAAAGGAUCCUACAAAUUGAUGCAAGAUACAGUCACUGAAAAUAAUUAUACAUACAAGUACGUCUGAGUCAUUGACAACUUUACAACAGAUUAAUCCAUCAGAUCACCAGCAAUGAUAGUGAUUUAUGGCUGUGUACAUUAUGUAUAUACAACUCGUCUCAACAUCAACCCAACAAUGUUAGAUCUGUAAAUUGACUUUCGCAAAUUUUUUGUUCUUUCCUCGCCGGGAUUCGAACCCAUGCUACUGAGAUAUCGUGACACCUAAUCGCCUGCACUGUAGCCGUCCCGCUAGACCACACGACUACCUGGGCGUCACAAUAAUAAAGCUUUCAGUGGCCGUGUGUUACCUUUUCUUGUCAGUCAUAAUCUAGCGUCGUACUACAGUAUAUGAUAUAUAAGGCAUGGAGAUGUUAUUGUACAGAUCAGCUCAAUUAUCUAUAGUUAAGGAUCCUACAUAUUAAUGCAAGAUACAGUAACAGAAAAUAAUUAUAUCUAUAAGUACGUCUGAGUCAGUGACAACUUUACAACAGAUUUAUCCAUCGGAUCACCAGCAAUGAUGGUGAUUCAUGGCUGUGUACAUUAGGUAUAUACAACUCGUCUAAACAUCAACCCAACAAUGUAAGAUCUGUAAAUUUGCUUUCGCAAAUUUUUUGUUCUUCCCUCGCCGGGAUUCGACCCCAUGCUUCUGAGAUAUCGUGACACCUAAUCGCCUGCACUGUAGUCGUCCCGCUAGACCACACGACCACAUGGGCUUCACAAUAAUAAAGCUUUCAGUGGCCGUGUGUUACCUUUCCUUGUAAGUUUUAAUCUAGCGUCGCACUACAUGAACAACAAAAACACCAUUCUGUAUUAGAAGCCAAUCGAAGCAAAACGCUUGCAGAUUAUCGCCUAUUAAUUUCAUGUGUUUUAAUUAUAGGUAUUUAGAUGAAAACAUGAUCUAUGAUGCGUUGUUUAUUGAAUAUCUACCAACAACAUUGUCCACAUUGUAAGUUAUAGAGCUCUCUUUAUAUCUCCUGUCAUCAUGUUUAUUCACUACAUUUUACGCUAUAAUUGAUUACACGUAUUUGCGUUUAAAUGGUGAUACAAUAUAUUUGUACUAUAAUUGUAUACCAGAACAUGCAGAACACAUACAUACAUUUCGGAUCGAGUAGUUAAAUAAUGAACCAAACAUACCAUCAAAUGUAAUUUGAGGGUUGUCUUAUUGACAUUGACAACAAUAUACGGUAGUGUAUACAUUUGUCUUUUUUAAGAUAAUGUGACAGUUUUCUCUUGAUAUUCACUGCAAGAAAACGUAAGUUUUUUAUUCCGAAAGAUAGUUUUCAAUUUAAAAAGAAAUCUACCUUUUUUAAACUUUUUCGACUUUUCAUAUACAGUAAAAAAAAAUAUAUUGUCAUUUAUUUGUCAUCAGAAGCAUUAACAUUAAUCCUUGUACACGUCGCGAAAAAUUCUUUUCGGCAUUUUUUUUAUUCUUGUAAUUCUGUCAAGGGGUUACGUGGUAUGUCCAUACGAAGGUCAUUUUUGCAGAAUGUUUCUGUAAGUUUAAUUUUUCACAUUACGUUAUUUUUAAGAUGGGAUGUUUUAAUAAUGUGUUAUACGUGUAUUCAGUGUAUGGAGUAUCAUGUGUCUAAACGGCUCGAAUACACUACCUUUAUACGGAUAUGUCUUAUUUAGUAAAUGUAUCCUUGUGUAAGAUCAUUGUUUAAUUAUAUAAUACUCAUUCCAUUUACGUUGAUCACUGACCAAUAGUCAAUAGUGAUUAAUUUGCAAUGCAUGAUGUGCUACUAAAUGCUUCAAAUUACAGAGAACACGUUUGUUUUAAAAACACGUAAUCCAAUUUUUCACAGAUUGUAGGACAAACAUGUCAAGUUAUGUUUCUUGAUAUGUGAUUUGAUUUACAGAACAUGACAGAAAGUAUUUGUCGAGGACUUCGAAUUCCCAGUCUUACCACAUACGCUGAUCAUGAACACAAUAAAAUGGAGUUUGCUACGACUUUCAUACACGUUAGAUGUUUUUUUUUAAUUAGCUUUAUCUUUUUUAAAAUGCAUGACACUUGUUACCCUUUCGUUCGAUGUGUUUUGAUUUUGAUUUCGCCAUUUGAAAAGGGUCUCUGAGCAUUGAAUUUUUCUCGUAGUACAGUAUUUUGUGAUUCAUUGUUAAUAGUAAUGGUCUCCUUCAUUCUCAAGUUGAGUUUUAUUCUCAUACUAGUAUGGAUUAAAAAACAAAGAUUCAGCAAUUUGUUAACGAAACAGCAACCAAAAGAUGUAAUCGUUCAAAAGUAUGAUAACUUGCAUUUAGAUUCUAUCAAUAGUGGCUCCUGACCGUUUUUCCAGUGUGUAUCUUACUGUUAAAUAAUACUAGUAGUGGGAAGUUAAUGAUCGUUUUCGUAGUGUUAAAAAAUACCUAUAUAAAUCUUGUCAAUACUUUUUAAAUUGUUUUUUUAUACAUUUUUUUUUAAUCAGAUCACUGAAAAACAACUCUUUCGAUGACAUAGCGAAUGGAACAUUCCACAGAUUAAGUCAAUUACGGCAUUUGUAAGUACAUG
This 11535-nucleotide long non-coding RNA is filed under the name Mytilus galloprovincialis (Mediterranean mussel). The record is from RNAcentral. Lineage: Eukaryota; Metazoa; Mollusca; Bivalvia; Mytilida; Mytilidae.